This 465-nucleotide ribosomal RNA is filed under the name uncultured bacterium. RNAcentral describes it as "bacterial SSU rRNA". It matches the Rfam family "Bacterial small subunit ribosomal RNA", at positions 338 to 795 of the family's 1533-position model. The record is from RNAcentral.
CCUACGGGAGGCAGCAGUGGGGAAUAUUGCACAAUGGGGGAAACCCUGAUGCAGCCAUGCCGCGUGUGUGAAGAAGGCCUUCGGGUUGUAAAGCACUUUCAGUAGGGAGGAAAGGUAGUGGUUUAAUACGCCAUUACUGUGACGUUACCUACAGAAGAAGGACCGGCUAACUUCGUGCCAGCAGCCGCGGUAAUACGAGGGGUCCAAGCGUUAAUCGGAAUUACUGGGCGUAAAGCGUACGCAGGCGGUUCAUUAAGCCAGAUGUGAAAUCCCCGGGCUCAACCUGGGAAUUGCAUUUGGAACUGGUGAACUAGAGUCUUGUAGAGGGGGGUAGAAUUUCAGGUGUAGCGGUGAAAUGCGUAGAGAUCUGAAGGAAUACCGGUGGCGAAGGCGGCCCCCUGGACAAAGACUGACGCUCAUGUACGAAAGCGUGGGGAGCAAACAGGAUUAGAUACCCCGGUAGUC